ACUUUCAAGGAAGAAGCA
This 18-nucleotide transfer RNA is filed under the name Paradoxurus hermaphroditus (Asian palm civet). Its description in RNAcentral is "partial tRNA-Pro". The record is from RNAcentral. Lineage: Eukaryota; Metazoa; Chordata; Mammalia; Carnivora; Viverridae.